UGUAAGCUGUAACCCACCUUCCUUCUCCCAGCCCCCCAUGGCUUAAUUAUCAUGUGCAGCCUAGUGGAGAUGAAAUAACGGAGACUCUCACACUAACACCCACACACCCACACAGGGAGGAUCGGAGGACUGCAUAUACAUAGACACACACACACACACACACAAGCAGACACACAAAUGCACAAAUAGGAGGAGAGAGACAACAUGGUCUGCUUUUAAUCGAAGCUAAUCGGCAAGGAAAAUAAACAUGCUGGCAUGGCAGACAUCUAUCUUUGAGGCUGAAGCUGCUAGAUAAGGAGGAACAGGCCUCUCAGACAUGUGUUCUUCUCUUUAAAACACCGCCUGCUCCUCGUUGGCAGAAUUAAGCUUUAAUAUGGGUCUUAGGAGGAAGCAUCUCCAAGGUGAAAAGGUGAAAUUAUGGGAUGGAUUUUUCCUAGACACAUCAAUCAUCUUUAACUCAGUUCUAUUUGUUGGGGUCAGAGCUGCCCUUCUUUGAAGGCCUUGCAUGCAAGAAAAUCCAAGCAAGAGGAGCUUUGAAAGGCAUUACAACAUUACUCAGACCGUCUGCAACUGAUCUGUCAAAGUUGCCACAUUGCUUUGCAUGAAUCUUUAAUUAGCUAAGAAAAGCCCUGUUAAGAGGGAAACGGCACAGCUCUUUUCAUAGCAUUUCGUCGUCCACGCCAGGUCAGCAAAGUCACUGAUCAACAGUGGCAAAAUAAAAACAGUCCUCUCCCACUCUGAAUAGAUCAGCGAGUAUGUGGAGAGAGAAAAAAAACUGAAAAAGGAAAACAGAAAAAGGGAGUGAGAGGCAAGAGUAGGAAUCUGUUAAAGCAAACAUUACUUUUUCCAAAAUCUAUGUUUAUCGCUUGUGUUCUAGGACAAAAUCACAUUAAGGAAGUAGAGUAAUAGAUAGAAACAGAGAGAACAAAGAGAAAUGCUCAGCAUCAAAGAGAAAAGGAAUGAAGGAGUCGGGAAGAGUAUCAGUCAUGGGGUAAUCGUUCUAUCAGUGGCCGGAGUAAUGAAUCCAAUUUCCCAAGCAGCGCCAGUGUCAUUUAGAAGCUGUGGAAUGCAGAUUCAUGAGCCCUGCACUUAGAAGCUUUUUGAACCUAUAGACACAUUAAAAGGCAUUCUGGGACAGACAUUCAUAUUGUCACAGCCUAUAUUGAAUUUCCUUGGUCUGGUGCAGUGCAAGAAAUAAGAACAUUUUUGAACCAACUCAGAGCCACUGAAUCCUGUCUGGAGAUGGGGAUUCAACUUUAUUUUUAACUGCAAGCCAAAGUGACACAUGAUGCAGUCCUGGAAACCCCAGACAUUAAACCGUUUUAAUGCACAAUAUAUAUAUAGCAUUUAAACAGAGAAUGGUAAGUCUGUUUUCCAAAAAGAAAACCGCACAAUCCACAGAUCCUUGAGUUAAUGAACUUCAAUAGUAUACAGCAUUCCUACUCCAAAUAUUUUAAUUAUCUAGUCAACUGCAAGCAUAUGCUGCAAAAAGAGAAGAAAAAAACAUCUUCACCCUCUAUCUGAUGGCUUUGAUGUUUGACCACAAAAUCCUGACGUUUUUGUCAACCGUCAGUGGCUUGUGGAACAGCAGGGAAGCAGACGCACACACUCAGUCAGGUCCGGGGCUAAUUUGCGGGGAUCACUGCACUGACCCUGACCAGAUAAGGUGCCAGUCGACGAAACUUCCUUCAUUUCCUCUUGUUGUUGCAAUAUGGGAGCAGAGGCAGCCACGAACCAGCUUAAGGACAGCAGGGCUAAAAGGUGAAAGCCACGCUCGGCUGAACUUCAGGCCUGAUCAAAAGGAAUGCGACCUAGGCUUGGGGAGGCAGCAGAGCUUAUCGGCCCAGCAGCAAGGCUUUGGAGGAGAAGAUCCCAAGCACCAGAUAGCUUCAGGUACAUUAUCUUUGGUGUAAGGAAUAGCGCGAUUUGUGGAUUUGUGGAGAGAAAAGCCUGUUUACUGCACAGCUAGAUGCAAGUGUGCAAUUAUCUGCUGACUAAAGAUUGCAUAGGCACCAGGCUGACAAAACAGGACUCGUUCACACCCAUGCUGGAGCAUCUCAUUCUGUAAAGAUGGAAAAACUAGUGUGCGACACGACAGGAGGGAAGCGAUUGGAGAUAAAUUGAAAGCGAUGGAAAGGAGAUGGAAGUACAGGAAGCAAGAGGGGAAAGGAGACGAAAGAGAGAGAGAGUUAAAAGACAGCCUGCCCUGCAUCGCUUCAUAGCCACAGGCAGUGGCACAGCACAGGAGAAAUGUGCUUACAUCAUCACAUGCGGUCCAGGCAUCCUGCAGAGGGCACUGCUAAUAGCAGAAACACAGAGUGGAGGAGGCAAGCAACCAACCCAGGAGGAACUCGGCAAAGCGAUCCCACGCAACUAGGAUUUCUGACAUUCUUGGCAGCCUUUCAGAGAGGUCAGUCCUAAAGUAUUCGAGACGAGCUAACCUUCAAGAGCAACCAUGUUCCAGCAAGCCGAGAGGCUUAAUUCAUCAUUAAUUAAAGUCUGCAUGGGGUACAAGGAUGAGUCUUUCUCAGAGAAUCUCUAACCCCACUAUCCAAAGUAAUAGCCCUAUGAUUUGGACAAGAUGUUUUGCCCUAGCAGGCGCUGGGUGAUAUCAUGGCAAAUGGAUUGCUUGUUUGAAUACUUUCUUCCCUAUAAGCACCAAGAGAGAAAGAGAGGGGAAGAGAUUCUGCACCAGUCUCCAUACAGCGACCCAGAUAAGGUCCUUUCCGUACAUGUGGAAUGGCUUGAACAUGUAACAUGUGAGUUAUGGAUGUACAGCACAUGCAACAAGGAUAGAAAUCAAAUACUGCCGUCAUUCAGGCUCACAGGCAGCAUGAGUCCAAGUCUAUUCCAAUGAUAACAAAGUCAAUGUCACUUUCCUAGAUUAUAUGCUCAAGUGUGCUUAAGUGGGAAUCACAAGUUACCAGCAUAAACACCGGCAGCACACUUCAUCAAUCUCUAUCUUUCCCGGCUAUCCUAACUUAGUCUACAGGCAUGGCUGCAAUGGCACGCAGCUGCCUUGUUCAAUGUAUCAGACCCAUCUCACCCUCAGCAACAUUUUUCUAGGUGUAAUAACAGAUAGGAUCACAUAGCAAAUGCCUGAGCAAAAGAUGAGAGCUAUGAUCACAUUAAAAUGAGCAGCAUUCUUCUCAUGACUCCUAUUAACCACUGAUGCAACUGAGUCUUUUUGUUUGUGUGAGUGCGUGUGUGUCUUUGCAGGUUCCAGAGGCGUGGGUAGCCAGCUGCAGAGCUGUUCUGGAUGCUGAUUGGAAGAAGCACCUGUAAUCCAUCUCCCUUUUCUGGGAUCGGUGUGGUAACGUGGCAUAAAUGUUUUAGGAAGAUUUAAUUAAUUGUUUCAGUGAGUGAUAAUAGCAGGUAAUACUUAUCACAGGUACGUUUGCUUUCAUAGCUUGGAAGUGCCGUCACCAAAGUCAGUGUAGUGUGCAACUCCAGUACUCCAAGAGCAGUACUAACAGUCAAAUGUGAGAAGCAAAAUAAUGCUUAUAACAUUUUUGCUUUGCUUUUUAAAAGUUUUGCUCUAAGGUAGCGGGUGUAUAGGGUUAACUACACUAUACCACUAUCUCUCUCCCUCUAACUGCAACGAAGAGGCAGUGUUCUUAGGCUUGUGUGUAUGUAUUAAGUCAGUCACUGAGAUAUGAGUGUUGUAAGUGCACAAGGGAUUAGUAGCUCAAACAUUGAUCACUGAUAAGCUACAAAAAGUGGUCAUGUAUCUUUUCACUGUCUCUACAAUGUUCUUCCUCUCAGCACUCAACUAAGCACUUUCUGUAUGUAGAACAAUACAAAAAAAAGACACAUUGCCUACCCUGAUGAAAUCCCUGUUUGACAUAGCUAGCCAAGAUCCCCCCCAGACAAAAACAAGCCAUUACUAUUAGUCAAAAGAGAUCAAAGACAUACCCCAGCUGAACACAGUGUUUGGGAUUGCAGCGCCUGACAGCCAUCUGCACUGGUAAGACAGGAACAAGCAUUAGACAUUGAUGGCAAAGGAGGUCCAAGUUUUUUUCUUAGCGUCAGGUCUGAUAAAUUUGUGCAAGCCACACUUUACUUGGAGGACAGAGGUGUAUGUGGAAAAAGUUACAUAGGGAGGGAGAGAGGGAAAGAAAAAGUGAAGACAGUAGAAAGUUAAUAAGAAGAUGUUGGGGAGAUUGAAAAGGGGAAGAGAAGGAGAGGAGGGGUUGUGCAGCAAGGUUGGAUAGAGGAUUGGUGAGGAAGACAGUAGGGAAAAACAGUAAGACUGCUUCUCCCUCAGUGACCCAAAUUGGCAAGGAGUUCAGAGUGAGCCUGCGUCUUCAUCUCAAAGCCCGUAGAGCAGUGGAUGCCCAGGACAAAUCAACACGUUUCACAGUUUGCCUGCAUAAAACGCAAAUACCAUCAGCUUCAAAAACUAUGAUCUUCCCUGGAGCAUAUGAGCAGGGGUUUGCUCCUCUGGGUUCACUGAAUUGGUCUGUGAAUCGAUCACAAAAACAGCAUUUCAAAGGGUUUCAGAAACUAUGAGGUCUUUCUCUUUCCCAGACUUGAACAAAACAGACUUCAGCAUAGACAGCCCUGCAGACACUUGUGGCUGUGAGGUCCCAAAAGGCUUAGAGAUGUCUCUAGUUUUUUAACCACCACUCAUAAAAGCUUGGUGAAAACAGCAGUAUAUCAAUCUAGUUCUGCACACCCAACAUAAGGCAAAGACUGAGGAAAAGAGAAGUAAACAGAGAAAAAAGAAGAAGACUUGAGCAAAGAAAGAGAGAGAUGUGAGCCUACAUAAAAUAAAAAAGGUUUGGACUCCAGCCCAACUGCAGAGAGUAGGAUUCAGAUGAUGUGGAGGAAGGGUGCCAUAUGUGCGUUGGUCACACUGACCAAGCUUGAACCUACAUGCAGCAACUUACUCGGGACAUGUGUUUUGGCUAUCAAAGUCAUUAAAAUUCCAUUACAUAGUGCAACAACAGAGAUCGUAAGUCUUUCUGAGACUUUAAGAACAUUAAUCAUGUGAAUUGACCAUGAAUAAUAUAUUUACAUGCACAAAGAUGCACACUGUUUGACAUUUGAUGGUUCUGCUACAGUAUAUUAUCAGUUUCAUAACAUUUAAUUUUAAUAAAGGAAGAUUUAACUGGUA
Molecule: long non-coding RNA, 5119 nt
Organism: Thunnus maccoyii (southern bluefin tuna)
Lineage: Eukaryota; Metazoa; Chordata; Actinopteri; Scombriformes; Scombridae
Exons: 5
Source: RefSeq, a predicted model, not a curated record